RNAcentral lists this ribosomal RNA (468 nucleotides) under uncultured bacterium. Its description in RNAcentral is "partial 16S ribosomal RNA". It matches the Rfam family "Bacterial small subunit ribosomal RNA", at positions 28 to 507 of the family's 1533-position model. The record is from RNAcentral.
GACGAACGCUGGCGGCGUGCUUAACACAUGCAAGUCGAACGGGAAGGCCCUGCUUUUGUGGUGUGCUCGAGUGGCGAACGGGUGAGUAACACGUGAGUAACCUGCCCUUGACUUUGGGAUAACUUCAGGAAACUGGGGCUAAUACCGGAUAGGAGCUCCUGCUGCAUGGUGGGGGUUGGAAAGUUUCGGCGGUUGGGGAUGGACUCGCGGCUUAUCAGCUUGUUGGUGGGGUAGUGGCUUACCAAGGCUUUGACGGGUAGCCGGCCUGAGAGGGUGACCGGCCACAUUGGGACUGAGAUACGGCCCAGACUCCUACGGGAGGCAGCAGUGGGGAAUAUUGCACAAUGGGCGGAAGCCUGAUGCAGCAACGCCGCGUGCGGGAUGACGGCCUUCGGGUUGUAAACCGCUUUCGCCUGUGACGAAGCGUGAGUGACGGUAAUGGGUAAAGAAGCACCGGCUAACUACGUG